UGGAGGCGUGCCUAAUACAUGCAAGUCGAACGAACGGAUUGAGGAGCUUGCUCUUCAAGAAGUUAGUGGCGGACGGGUGAGUAACACGUGGGUAACCUGCCCUUCAGCGGGGGAUAACAUCCGGAAACGGGUGCUAAUACCGCAUAGUUUCUUUUUCCGCCUGGAAGAAGAAGGAAAGAUGGCCUUUGUGCUAUCACUGAGGGAUGGACCCGCGGCGUAUUAGUUAGUUGGUGGGGUAAUGGCCUACCAAGACGAUGAUACGUAGCCGACCUGAGAGGGUGAUCGGCCACACUGGAACUGAGACACGGUCCAGACUCCUACGGGAGGCAGCAGUGGGGAAUAUUGCACAAUGGAGGAACUCUGAUGCAGCGACGCCGCGUGACGAUGAAGCUUCGGGUCGUAA
This 403-nucleotide ribosomal RNA is filed under the name uncultured prokaryote. RNAcentral describes it as "bacterial SSU rRNA". It matches the Rfam family "Bacterial small subunit ribosomal RNA", at positions 37 to 428 of the family's 1533-position model. The record is from RNAcentral.